This 739-nucleotide ribosomal RNA is filed under the name uncultured bacterium. Its description in RNAcentral is "bacterial SSU rRNA". It matches the Rfam family "Bacterial small subunit ribosomal RNA", at positions 8 to 738 of the family's 1533-position model. The record is from RNAcentral.
AGAGUUUGAUCAUGGCUCAGUAUUGAACGCUGGCGGCAGGCUUAACACAUGCAAGUCGAGCGGAAACGAAGGUAGCUUGCUACCAGGCGUCGAGCGGCGGACGGGUGAGUAAUGCUUAGGAAUCUACCGAGUAGUGGGGGAUAGCCAUUGGAAACGAUGAUUAAUACCGCAUAUAUCCUACGGGGGAAAGCAGGGGACCUUCGGGCCUUGCGCUAUUCGAUGAGCCUGAGUGAGAUUAGCUAGUUGGUGGGGUAAAGGCCUACCAAGGCGACGAUCUCUAGCUGGUCUGAGAGGAUGAUCAGCCACACUGGGACUGAGACACGGCCCAGACUCCUACGGGAGGCAGCAGUGGGGAAUAUUGCACAAUGGACGAAAGUCUGAUGCAGCCAUGCCGCGUGUGUGAAGAAGGCCUUCGGGUUGUAAAGCACUUUCAGCGAGGAGGAAAGGUCAGUAAGUAAUAUUUGCUGGCUGUGACGUUACUCGCAGAAGAAGCACCGGCUAAUUUAGUGCCAGCAGCCGCGGUAAUACUAAAGGUGCAAGCGUUAAUCGGAAUUACUGGGCGUAAAGCGCGCGUAGGUGGUUUGUUAAGUUGGAUGUGAAAGCCCAGGGCUCAACCUUGGAACUGCAUUCAAAACUGACUCACUAGAGUACGAGAGAGGUUAGUGGAAUUUCCUGUGUAGCGGUGAAAUGCGUAGAGAUGGGAAGGAACACCAGUGGCGAUGCGACUGACUGGCUCGAU